RNAcentral lists this ribosomal RNA (459 nucleotides) under uncultured bacterium. RNAcentral's name for it is "partial 16S ribosomal RNA". It matches the Rfam family "Bacterial small subunit ribosomal RNA", at positions 338 to 795 of the family's 1533-position model. The record is from RNAcentral.
CCUACGGGCGGCAGCAGUGAGGAAUAUUGGUCAAUGGGCGGGAGCCUGAACCAGCCAUGCCGCGUGAAGGUGAGUGCCCUACGGGCGUUAAACUUCUUUUGUGCGGGAGCAAUAAGGGUCACGCGUGGCCCGACGAGAGUACCGCACGAAUAAGCAUCGGCUAACUCCGUGCCAGCAGCCGCGGUAAUACGGGGGAUGCGAGCGUUAUCCGGAUUUAUUGGGUUUAAAGGGUGCGUAGGCGGGGCGUUAGGUCAGCGGUGAAAUCCCCGGGCUCAACCGCGGAGGUGCCGUUGAUACAGGCGUGCUGGAAUGCGGAUGCCGUCGGAGGAAUGUGUGGUGUAGCGGUGAAAUGCAUAGAUAUCACACAGAACACCGAUUGCGAAGGCAUCUGACGAAUCGGCGAUUGACGCUGAUGCACGAAAGCGUGGGUAUCGAACAGGAUUAGAUACCCGGGUAGUC